UCUAGCAGCCAUAUCACCCUGCAACUCACAACUGGCAGCCCACUGAAGCAAAACAGGUGGGAGCCUGGACAGUACCUGGAUGGGAGACCUCCUGGGAGAAACUAAGGUUGCUGCUGGGA
This 119-nucleotide ribosomal RNA is filed under the name Lepisosteus oculatus (spotted gar). The record is from RNAcentral. Lineage: Eukaryota; Metazoa; Chordata; Actinopteri; Semionotiformes; Lepisosteidae.